AAUGAACGCUGGCGGCGUGCCUAAUACAUGCAAGUCGAGCGAACGGACGAGAAGCUUGCUUCUCUGAUGUUAGCGGCGGACGGGUGAGUAACACGUGGAUAACCUACCUAUAAGACUGGGAUAACUUCGGGAAACCGGAGCUAAUACCGGCUAAUAUUUUGAACGGCAUGGUUCAAAAGUGAAAGACGGUCUUGCUGUCACUUAUAGAUGGAUCCGCGCUACAUUAGCUAGUUGGUAAGGUAACGGCUUACCAAGGCAACGAUGCAUAGCGGACCUGAGAGGGUGAUCGGCCACACGGGAACGAGGACCGGGUCCGACCCCGUACGGAAGGCAGCAGGGGGGAUACUUCCGAAUUGGGCGAAGGCCUAACGGAGCAACGCCGGGUGGGUAAGGAGGGUCUGCGGAUCGUAAAACUCUGUUAUUAGGGAAGAACAUAUGUGUAAGUAACUGUGCAGAUCUUGACGUUACCAAAGCAGAAGGCCACGGCUAACUACGU
RNAcentral lists this ribosomal RNA (496 nucleotides) under uncultured bacterium. RNAcentral's name for it is "partial 16S ribosomal RNA". It matches the Rfam family "Bacterial small subunit ribosomal RNA", at positions 29 to 506 of the family's 1533-position model. The record is from RNAcentral.